Molecule: non-coding RNA, 236 nt
Organism: Pelobates cultripes (western spadefoot toad)
Lineage: Eukaryota; Metazoa; Chordata; Amphibia; Anura; Pelobatidae
Source: the annotation of a GenBank genome assembly
GGAGGCUUUGUGCACAAAUAGUCACGUUACCUAAACCUGGUAAAACACCUAAUGUCUGUUCAAAUUUUUGUCCCAUUUCAUUAAUUAAUAAUGACACAAAGAUUUAUUCAAAAAUGUUAGCAAAUAGACUUCUUCCUUCCCUAACUGACAAAGACCAGGUUGGUUUCAUUAUAAACUGUCAGGCUCCUGAUGGCACCAGGCGUUUCAUCAAUUUGAUUAAUCAUCUUAAAUCUACU